Molecule: non-coding RNA, 158 nt
Organism: Pan troglodytes (chimpanzee)
Lineage: Eukaryota; Metazoa; Chordata; Mammalia; Primates; Hominidae
Source: Rfam
CGAGGGGUGCCUCAUGGUCAGAACAAAUUUAUAGACAAAAAGUUAAAGUGACGUACAGGAAUUGGAAGUGAGGUACAGAAAGAGUGAGAUUGGUUACAGCUCUGCAUUUGCCUUAUUUGAAGACAGUUUGAGCACUCAGCAGUCUAUGAGUGGCUGAA